AUAGGUAGUGUGAAUCGCAGAAUCCUGUGAAUCAUCGAAUCUUUGAACGAAUAUUGCGCCCGAGGCCUCGGCGGAGGGCAUGUCUGCCUGAGCGUC
RNAcentral lists this ribosomal RNA (96 nucleotides) under Nephroselmis pyriformis. RNAcentral's name for it is "partial 5.8S ribosomal RNA". It matches the Rfam family "5.8S ribosomal RNA", at positions 58 to 153 of the family's 154-position model. Rfam says of the family: 5.8S ribosomal RNA (5.8S rRNA) is a component of the large subunit of the eukaryotic ribosome. It is transcribed by RNA polymerase I as part of the 45S precursor that also contains 18S and 28S rRNA. Lineage: Eukaryota; Viridiplantae; Chlorophyta; Nephroselmidophyceae; Nephroselmidales; Nephroselmidaceae. The record is from RNAcentral.